Molecule: long non-coding RNA, 1619 nt
Organism: Cuculus canorus (common cuckoo)
Lineage: Eukaryota; Metazoa; Chordata; Aves; Cuculiformes; Cuculidae
Exons: 3
Source: RefSeq, a predicted model, not a curated record
CACAGCCUAUGGUAUUUCUGGGCUGGCUGAUGAUGGAGUGGUUGGUCACGGCACACAGCUGUGCUGUGGCCUCGGAGAUCAGCUCAAAAGCGUGUCCCUCGGUAUCCUUGGCCAGUGCUGCAGUGUUCCAAGGCCAAAUGAAAGCUGUUGUCCCACUCUCCGAGGCCUCUUCUUCCUCUGACCUAUCUCCACAGGCUCCUUCUCCGUGGCUUCUGCUCAGGGCAGAUCUAUGCUGGAGUAGAAACCUUGACAGCAAACAAGCACCAAGGCCAACAUGUAUAAAGACCGAGAAAUGUUCCAGCCCUGUUUAAGGAGCAGGUCAAGGCAGGCAGACAUGGGCUGGGGCUUUUCCUACCGUGCUCAUCUCAGUUUUAUGCAUCUGUACAGUGACUUGUGUGGUCAAGCGAGGGGAAACUAAAGAAUUAGCCCAGAGACUAAAGCAAUGCAAGGAGCAUUUCUUGGCUUACUUUAUGCCUAGAGGAAGAAGGAGCCUUCCCUACAGCUCUUCACCUCACCAGAAGUAUGGCCAGAUCUGUCAAGUCACUGACAGCUGAACAUGAGGCUCACACAAGCAAGUCCUGCCUCGCUCUCCUCCCUGGAGCUGUCUCUCACACAUCUGCAAUCCAUCAGGGCCUCUCUCCCCCAAGGUGACCCCAUGCGCCAGGCUUGUUUGCUGGAUAUUUGGGAUAACUCUAGGGCUCCAGGAUUUCUUUUUCAGCUAGCAACAUGGGAAGAGACCAUUGAGUGCAAACCUCAGUCUGACACCCUGUGCCCAACAAGUGCAACCCCUCAUGGCACUUGUAUGGCAACCCCACACAAAUGCCAUGACUCCUUUCUCCUGUUCUUACCUGUGUUGCAACAGAAACUGGGAUGAAGAGAGGCUCUGGAGAGUCAGCUAUCACCAGUCCCCUAAAAACAAAACAAACAAAGACCUUUUCUUAGUUGCAGUGACAUGAACAGAGCUUAGUCCCCUGGCCCCUCCAGGAUGUGGCUGAGGUAUAUCAGGGAAGAGCAGCUGUCAGCAUGGAUGUGCCUAAAAUUAGCUCAAAGAGAAGGUUUCCUCUAUUUAUUUAUUUAUUUGCUCAUUAAAAGGCCCCUUCUCAUUAGAUGCAAAUUCAGCACAAAGCCAGUACAAAGGCACUACUAAUGUUUUUCAAUUACACUGAGAGGGAGGUCACAGCACUUUGCAUUUGAAUUUCUGCUUGGUCCUAGAUGUUCUUGGGAUAGAGGCUGUAGCAGUGGGGUGAGCAGUUUGGAUGCUGGGCUGCAGGAAGACUUUUGGAAGAGCUGUACCAGAUGCAUCAGGUUCUGGUGUGCUGGAGACCAGCAUGUCAUUUAUUUGGUGUUACAGGUGCCUCAGGAAGGAAUAAUGAAAAAUGGGUCUCUAACUUUAAUUUAUCUCCUUUCAGAUAUGCCCCCCCGCAAGAGGUUUCUUAUUACACAAAUUCUGCUUUCCUCUGUUUGCCAGCUUUUCCCAACCAUCCAUCUUUCCCACCCUCUGACAACUUUAAGACUCCCUCACAAAUUUCACUCCCUCAAACCGGACGGGAAAGAAGGGGGUGGAGAGGUAUUAAAAAUACCAGAUUCCAGCAAGUUUUUGUCAGAGAGAAGUACCUUCA